UCUCUGUCUCUCUGUCUCUGUCUGUCUCUCUCUCUCUCUCUCUCUCUGUGUGUGUGUGUGUGUGUGUGUGUAUAGCCUUCAUAGGCCGUUGGAGAUAGAUCCUGGGAAAUAAACUUGAGUCUGCUGAAGAGCAAGAAGUCCUCUUAACCUAUCCCUCCAGCCAUCCCACCCCAUCCCGGACACACCUUUUAAUAAAAUGAAGUAGUGUUAGGGUUUAAUAGAGACAUCUUAAUAUAGGCUUAGGUAUGAGGCAGAGCAAGAGAUGCACUCAGAAGGAAAGGACAAUUGAGAGCAUGGACAUGAGCUUCUCAAAGAGCUGAAUAAAGUAAAACAUACUGCGUGCCUAAGCGAAGUGCUCGUUGGAGCUCCUGACAGACAGGAAGUGCUCAGCCGGAUGACUAAGUGACUGGAUGAGAUCUGUGAGGCACCAGAAUGGAGAUUGAAGCCCAAGGCAAGGAAGACAGAUUUCAGGAGUCCUUGAGGGUUGUGUGGUGCAAACAUCAUCCAACUUCUUCCACACUCAGCUAACAGCGUUCGCUCACUCGUGCACUACAGAGCAAACACGCGCUAAGCUGCACCUUUGGGAGCAAAGCCGGAGGACAGAGUAGAACUGGAUGGGGGCAGUUUGAAGGAGUCAGCAAGCUCAGUAAGGUGGUGCUUGCUUGAGUUCUCAGCAUUCUUGAGACCGGAGGCAGGAGGAUCAAAGUUUAAGGACUGGCUGGCCGUACUUUGAGAUUGAGUCUCAAAACAACAAACCAAACCAAAAAACAAACAACAUCAACCUAACAAAACACCCCAGACAAACAAACAACAAGCAAACCAGGUUGUGAAGACUGAAGGACAGAGCCCCUGAGCCGGGAAGUGAUGACCCGGGUGCUGGCUGGAGACAUCUUAGGCUCUCUGGGUUUAAGUGAAGAUGAACAGCCAGAAACACACAUUGAGGCUGCCAUAGCCUAAACGAGGUUUCAGACUGGGACCACAGAUAUUCUACCACUACAUUUAAAUGAAUCAUUUUUUUCCGCUCUUUAAAACAGGUUCUCACCUAGCCCAGGUUGGCCUUACACUCCCUAAGUAGCCAAGGACGAACUUGGACUAAUAUUUUUCCUUCCUCUACCUCCCGAGUGCUAGCAUUACUGGUAUACACGACCACACCUACUGUAUGCAGUACUGGGGCUCAAACCCCAGGUUUUGUGUAUUCGAGGGAAGCUUUUUUUGGGGGGUGGUGGCGGCAGUUGAGACAGGGUUUCUCUGUAUAGCCAUGGCUGUCCUG
Long non-coding RNA from Mus musculus (house mouse), 1270 nucleotides. RefSeq annotates it as predicted gene, 31691. Lineage: Eukaryota; Metazoa; Chordata; Mammalia; Rodentia; Muridae. The transcript is spliced from 3 exons. The record is from RefSeq and is a predicted model, not a curated record.